AGGAUGAACGCUAGCUACAGGCUAACACAUGCAAGUCGAGGGCAGCAUGUCUUAGCUUGCUAAGGCCGAUGGCGACCGGGGCACGGGUGAGUAACACGUAUCCAACCUGCCGCCUAUUCUUGGACAGCCUUCUGAAAGGAAGAUUAAUACAAGAUGGCAUCAUGAGUCCGCAUGUUCACAUGAUUAAAGGUAUUCCGGUAGACGAUGGGGAUGCGUUCCAUUAGAUAGUAGGCGGGGUAACGGCCCACCUAGUCUUCGAUGGAUAGGGGUUCUGAGAGGAAGGUCCCCCACAUUGGAACUGAGACACGGUCCAAACUCCUACGGGAGGCAGCAGUGAGGAAUAUUGGUCAAUGGGCGAGAGCCUGAACCAGCCAAGUAGCGUGAAGGAUGACUGCCCUAUGGGUUGUAAACUUCUUUUAUAAAGGAAUAAAGUCGGGUAUGCAUACCCGUUUGCAUGUACUUUAUGAAUAAGGAUCGGCUAACUCCGUGCCAGCAGCCGCGGUAAUACGGAGGAUCCGAGCGUUAUCCGGAUUUAUUGGGUUUAAAGGGAGCGUAGAUGGAUGUUUAAGUCAGUUGUGAAAGUUUGCGGCUCAACCGUAAAAUUGCAGUUGAUACUGGAUAUCUUGAGUGCAGUUGAGGCAGGCGGAAUUCGUGGUGUAGCGGUGAAAUGCUUAGAUAUCACGAAGAACUCCGAUUGCGAAGGCAGCCUGCUAAGCUGGCACUGACAUUGAGGCU
This 735-nucleotide ribosomal RNA is filed under the name uncultured Bacteroidales bacterium. RNAcentral describes it as "bacterial SSU rRNA". It matches the Rfam family "Bacterial small subunit ribosomal RNA", at positions 26 to 753 of the family's 1533-position model. The record is from RNAcentral. Lineage: Bacteria; Pseudomonadati; Bacteroidota; Bacteroidia; Bacteroidales.